CCUCUCGCUGCCGACCCUCCGGGGCGAGCGCCCGAGAUCCCUUUCCCAGAGUGCUCCGCGCCGUGAAGAAGCGGCUCCCGGGGACUGGGGGCAUUUUGUGUUGGCUGGAGCCGGAGUAACAAGAUGGCGGCGUCAGCGGAGUGACAGAGAUCCCUCCGGGCGGGAGCCGGCGGCAGCGGUGACAGUGGUAUCGCCGCCCUAACACACCGCGCUCCUUUUCCGGCCCGCGAGGGCGCCGCGAAAGCGAGGCCGCGGCGGCCGCCCAGAAAUAAGUGGCCCGGCCUGGUAACCGAAAGAACCUCCUCACAGACUGCGGCCUGGCCAGGGAAGCCUGACUGAGCGGCGGUGACCGGCUCGCCUCGGCCGAUUCUGGGCCCUGUAACGCCGAGAGAGCCGACGGUUUCCGUUUCCUGCCGCCCUCCUCCGCAGCCUCGCUCCGCGCCCGGGCCUCAGAGGCCUCCGUCCUCCCCUCAGAGGUGUCGGGGCUUGGCCCCAGCCUCCAUCUUCGUCUUUCAGGAUGGCGAGCAGCAGCGGCUCCAAGGCCGAGUUCAUUGUCGGAGGGAAAUACAAACUGGUACGGAAGAUCGGGUCUGGCUCCUUCGGGGACAUUUAUCUGGCGAUCAACAUCACCAACGGCGAGGAAGUGGCAGUGAAGCUAGAAUCUCAGAAGGCCAGGCAUCCCCAGUUGCUGUACGAGAGCAAACUCUAUAAGAUUCUUCAAGGUGGGGUUGGCAUCCCCCACAUACGGUGGUAUGGUCAGGAAAAAGACUACAAUGUGCUAGUCAUGGAUCUUCUUGGACCCAGCCUCGAAGACCUCUUCAAUUUCUGUUCGAGAAGGUUCACAAUGAAAACUGUACUUAUGUUAGCUGACCAGAUGAUCAGUAGAAUUGAAUAUGUGCAUACAAAGAAUUUUAUACACAGAGACAUUAAACCAGAUAACUUCCUAAUGGGUAUUGGGCGUCACUGUAAUAAGUGUUUAGAAUCUCCAGUGGGGAAGAGGAAAAGAAGCAUGACUGUUAGUACUUCUCAGGACCCAUCUUUCUCAGGAUUAAACCAGUUAUUCCUUAUUGAUUUUGGUUUGGCCAAAAAGUACAGAGAUAACAGGACAAGGCAACACAUACCAUACAGAGAAGAUAAAAAUCUCACUGGCACUGCCCGAUAUGCUAGCAUCAAUGCACAUCUUGGUAUUGAACAGAGUCGCCGAGAUGACAUGGAAUCAUUAGGAUAUGUUUUGAUGUAUUUUAAUAGAACCAGCCUGCCAUGGCAAGGACUGAAGGCUGCAACAAAGAAACAAAAAUAUGAAAAGAUUAGUGAAAAGAAGAUGUCCACUCCUGUUGAAGUUUUAUGUAAGGGAUUUCCUGCAGAAUUUGCCAUGUACUUAAACUAUUGUCGUGGGCUGCGCUUUGAGGAAGCCCCGGAUUACAUGUAUCUGAGGCAGCUAUUCCGCAUUCUUUUCAGGACCCUGAACCACCAAUAUGACUACACAUUUGAUUGGACAAUGUUAAAGCAGAAAGCAGCACAACAGGCAGCCUCUUCAAGUGGGCAGGGUCAGCAGGCCCAAACCCCCACAGGUCUUAAAGAUGAGAAGUUGGAUCCACUGAGUUAGUAUGUUUCCUUGGGAAAAAAUUGUAAUUAAACUUAAGUUUAAUCCUUAUUUUGUAUUGUAGCUAUUUUUCGUAGAAGCAAGUUAAAAUCAGAAAAAUUUCAUAGCAUUACACAGAGGAGAUAUACAAAUUGUUACAUAAACACACACUUGUAAAAUUUUGAAAAAUUGGACUUUUCGUGAAACGUAGCACAUAAGCAUUUACUGACAACUGUCACAGAUGCAUUUCCAGGUGGCAUAUUUUGACUCCAAACAAAGUACUUCUUCCUAUUAAAAUGUGCCAUUCCGUAGAAUACAAACAACAAAAUUCUUUUUUGUCUUUGACUUGUUAUAAACAGUUGUUUUAUUUUGGAUAUAGAACUUAGUGCCCCCAAAAAAGUCUUAGACAAAACCCCCUAUAUAUAAAGCCAUGAAAGUAUAGCAAGUUUGAGGGUGGCUCAUGAAGUAAGUACAGGGAGCCUGUUCCCCUAACCUCUACCCCAGCCUUAUUAUCUGGGUCGUCCAUUAAGAAAUCUCCUAUGAAGUUUGAAAACAAUUUCUCUAGGCUACUUACUCUUGAUUCCCAACUCUAAGUAAUAAGAGUAUUUAGAAGCCUACUCUCUUAGGAUCCACUACAGUAGCAUUUCAUUCACGGAAGAGGUCAUGCAGCUCAAUAAUUCAUUGAUUACAAGAAAUCCUUUCAGUGAUGAUGAAAAUAGCAUAUUAGAUUUUUCUGGUUAAAAUUUUUGUAGGUGUUUUUUUAAUACAUCGGAUCAUUUGUGAUUCACAGAGUUAUGUAUUCAGAGGUUUUCACUGCAGAUAAUUCAGUUUCUUAAGUGAAUCUUCACCAAGUAGAUCUCUAUAUUGCAGGAAUUCCAUUCCUGGAAAAAUCCCCCAGGCGGUGGCAUUCACUAAUAUAUUUUAUAUGAUUAUCUUUAUUUUCGAAAAAUCUGUAUCUAAUGUUUCUUACAUGGAAAGUUGUUUUUGCACUUCACUAAGCAAAUAUCUAAGUUUCUUCAAAGUCUGACUUAACUGAGAUAGGCUUUAUUAAAUGUAGUAGGCAACCUAAUUACUUUUCUAAAGAAAAGGUCUUUUGAUAUAUUCCAUUCCAAAGCCCAUCAAAAGACUAAGAAACAAGGCAUUUCUCCUACUGCCCUCUAUGAUCUAUACUAGUUUUCAGUGCUCAAGUACCACAGAAUUAUAGUUACUGUUUUCGUACAUGGUAAGGAGAAAAAUAAAAGAUUCACGUCUAACAAAUUUCCAAAUGCACUUCACUCCUUUUAUAUGUGAUUAUUAGGAAAGUACUUUUCAAGAUGUUUAAGAAGCAGUACAGAAAAAGGAAAUAUUUUUAGGACAUUCAGAAUCCGGUUAAGUUCACCGUUUCUUUAGUUGAGGGCAGAGAUGGGGAGAAUUUCAGAAGGUAGUGAAGCCAAAGGUGGAUCCUCACAUAAUUCUGCUAUUCUCAUCAUCUUAACCCAUCUGUUCACUACUCCAGCCAUCAAUACUAAGCGUAGUUUUAUCAUAAUAGUAUAUGUGGUUGUCAAAUUGUUGACAUUUAAGAGAUUAGAAGUAUUUUUCCAUCACAUUAUCCUAUCCAUGUCCAUGGUCUUCCUUGAAUUACCUUCCAGUAUUUACUGGGCUUCACCUGCCAUUUAUGUCUAGCUUAACUUUUUCUGACUUCACCAAUUGCUGCUAGGAACGUGGCUGGUCACUCAGCAACGUAACCCAAAUCACAGGGGAAGACCUUGAGAUAUCUGGAGAGACUGAUCUGCUCUGAAUACACUCAAUCCAGAGAAGUACCAGGGAGCUGCAUUUGUUUGCUGAAAUUUUUGUCAGCUUUUUUCACUGGACAAUAAAGCCGGAGAGAAAAGAACUAAAUAACCCAACGGGAAGUGAAGAUGAGUAUGCAAGAGUCGAUUUGUGGUGGUCUGAAGCCCACGUCUCUAAGGCUUGUUGGACCUGUCAAACUUUACAACUUGUGAGAUUGUCUGGAUGAUACCACAGCAGUUGGAAGACCUAGAAGAAUACAGUGUUGCUGUGACUCGGUGGUGUAGAAUGCAGACCAUCCACCAGUUGGCGAAGGAAUCAGUUGUAACAGGAACAAAGGCAUUCAUUCCUUAUUUUAACUGUUGUUGCAGUGAAGAUGGGUUUUUGGACUUUCAGAAGCCAAGAGAUGCCACCUAAACUACGAGCUGAAAACCAAGGACUAAUGCACCCUGGGGAAAACAAUGCUUAGUACUUGAAGAUUGAAUGUUGAAUACCUGCUGAAUGCUCUUAUUGAGAUUUUUUCCUAAACAAACUUCACUAACAUCUUAGGACUGGAGAAGCAUUGAUCUCUGGGUGGAGUAUCCUACCUUGGCCAAUCUGAAGAGUUAAAUCUGGAUUUGACUGCUGUAUUCUACCAGGAAUAUUGUUAGGCUAGCCUUUAACGAAUCCCUAAGUAAUUGUAAUCAUCAAAUGACCCAGCAACUGCUCAUAUAUCACAUUAAAAGAUGAACAGAUAUAAUUCUUAUCCCUAUUAAAGACACAGGAGUUUUCUAAUGUUUUGACUGACAAAGAACUAAUGUUUCCUUUUUAUUCUCAGUGGCAAUGGUUUCUGUUUUAGAGCUACUUGGAUAUUCAGCAAAGUAAAUUAUCCAAUAUAAUGUAAUUGUGUAAGCAAGCUAUGGUAAAAGAAAACCCAGCAAUUUUCGUAGUUGCGAAAACAUUAUUCUUUUUAUCGUAUUUAAGAAUAGUUGCAGAACUUGAAACCAACUGUUCAUUGGGGUUAGGGUUACUUUAUUUAGCUUAUCCAUAGUUUUAAUUUGCUUUAAAAUAUUCUGUAUUUUAAAGUUGGAAUUAGGUUACAGAAUUUGGUCAGAUCUUUAAGGUUUGAUUUGACAACCUUUUCUUUUUAUGCUUACCUAGCUAAUCCUGUAUAAUAAUUUAUAUCAAAUAGAUAAUAUUCCUUGUGGUAAAAUACCUUUUCACAAAGUUUCAUUAUCAUUUUUGGUGUUUGGUUUAUGAACUUAGUACUUGAACAGGCAGCAAAGGUCUAUUUUGCAUCCUCUGUUAGGCACUAUGGGGAGACACAGAAGUACAGCACUUCGUCUUUAUUCUCAGGCGUAGCACAGCAGAUUAAAUGAAUAAAGAUGACUCUGACCUCAAAUGGGAAAACUCCUAGUUAACGAGUGAGAAUAUUUACCAAGAAAUAGUAUAUAAAUGUUGGUGGUAUUAUCUUUGGGGAAAAAGGCAUCCGUGCAUGAAAAGUAAAUCAUGGAAGUAUUUUAUGUAUCCCAUAAAGCCCAUUGGAGAUGCUCCAACAAAUGUUUGAGAAGUACAAAAAAGGGAGCAGUUUAUGAUUGGCGAAAACAUGAUUUGUGCUCCAGAAGUGAGAGGUCAGAGUGGCUAGAAUGAGCUAUACUUAGGUCAGCUAAAAGAGUUUGGAAGGGGGUGGACCAAGAGGCAUUGAUAUCUUACAGGAGGGCUUUAGAUGAGAAGGUGCUGAUGGGGUUUUUAUGUUAUUGCUAAGGGUUAGACACAUUUCCUCUCUGCCAUCAGGCAUAGAUGAAGCAUGAGCUAUAUUACUUGAAGCCUUCUAUUCAAGCCUGCCUUAUGUGGAAGCCCUGCGGUCUGCUUGUCGGGGAGGAGGGGAGUGUAUGCAGGGUGGCAAGGCUUGAGAAGUAAAUAAAGCCAAAAAGGCAUCACUUGUUUAACUUUCAAGACAGUGACAAAACCUAACAUUUUUAAUGUAACUGAUGGAAGUAAAGAAGUUUUAAAGACCUAAGGUUUCUGUUUAAGAAUUAUAUACUUAAUAUCUUUAUGUUCAGUGGAAUAACUGAGAUAAUUAUGCCUUCGAUAAUUUAUUAUUAAAGCUUAUCAUUCCUCGUUUGUGUCAGAAAUGUGCAGAGCACUUCCUGCUCAUAGGAUAAUUAAAACUAUACAUUCUAGUUGUUAAA
This is a non-coding RNA of Equus caballus (horse), 5520 nucleotides long. NCBI's taxonomy places the organism in Eukaryota, Metazoa, Chordata, Mammalia, Perissodactyla, Equidae. The record is from RefSeq and is a predicted model, not a curated record.